AUUAAUGAAGAAAAAGACAAAAAAUCUAAAUUAACUAGGUUAACUCUUCAAACCAGGUUAAACCAUCAAACCUGAGAUCCAUGUCAUGAAAAUUUGAUAAUUAAAUAAAAAAUUUAACAUUAAAAAA
Molecule: long non-coding RNA, 127 nt
Organism: Populus euphratica (Euphrates poplar)
Lineage: Eukaryota; Viridiplantae; Streptophyta; Magnoliopsida; Malpighiales; Salicaceae
Exons: 2
Source: RefSeq, a predicted model, not a curated record